CUACGGGUGGCUGCAGUGGGGAAUAUUGGACAAUGGGCGAAAGCCUGAUCCAGCCAUGCCGCGUGUGUGAAGAAGGCCUUCGGGUUGUAAAGCACUUUCAGUGGGGAAGAAAGCCUUGGGGCUAAUACCCUCGAGGAAGGACAUCACCCACAGAAGAAGCACCGGCUAACUCCGUGCCAGCAGCCGCGGUAAUACGGAGGGUGCGAGCGUUAAUCGGAAUUACUGGGCGUAAAGCGCGCGUAGGCGGUCUGAUAAGCCGGUUGUGAAAGCCCCGGGCUCAACCUGGGAACGGCAUCCGGAACUGUCAGGCUAGAGUGCAGGAGAGGAAGGUAGAAUUCCCGGUGUAGCAGUGAAAUGCGUAGAGAUCGGGAGGAAUACCAGUGGCGAAGGCGGCCUUCUGGACUGACACUGACGCUGAGGUGCGAAAGCGUGGGUAGCAAACAGGAUUAGAUACCCUAGUAGUC
Molecule: ribosomal RNA, 464 nt
Filed under: Vreelandella stevensii
Lineage: Bacteria; Pseudomonadati; Pseudomonadota; Gammaproteobacteria; Oceanospirillales; Halomonadaceae
Description: partial 16S ribosomal RNA
Rfam family: Bacterial small subunit ribosomal RNA
Source: RNAcentral